AUACGAAGGUCCCAAGCGUUAUUCGGAAUCACUGGGCGUAAAGAGUACGUAGGCGGUUUGGUAAGUCAGGUGUGAAAUCCCGGAGCUCAACUCCGGAACUGCAUCCGAUACUACCAGACUUGAGUAAUGGAGAGGCAGGUGGAAUUCUCGGUGUAGCAGUGAAAUGCGUGGAUAUCGAGAGGAAGACCAAUGGCGAAGGCAGCCUGCUGGACAUUUACUGACGCUGAGGUACGAAGGCUAGGGGAGCGAAAGGGAUUAGAAACCCUGGUAGUCC
RNAcentral lists this ribosomal RNA (274 nucleotides) under uncultured bacterium. Its description in RNAcentral is "partial 16S ribosomal RNA". It matches the Rfam family "Bacterial small subunit ribosomal RNA", at positions 523 to 796 of the family's 1533-position model. The record is from RNAcentral.